AACGAACGCUGGCGGCAUGCCUAACACAUGCAAGUCGAACGAGACCUUCGGGUCUAGUGGCGCACGGGUGCGUAACGCGUGGGAACCUGCCUUUAGGUUCGGAAUAACUCAGAGACAUUUGAGCUAAUACCGGAUGAUGUCUUCUGACCAAAGAUUUAUCGCCUUUAGAUGGGCCCGCGUUGUUUUGGCUUGUUGGUGGUGUAAGGGCCUAUCAAGGCUUCGCUCCAUAGCUGGGCUGAGAGGAUGGUCAGCCACUCUGAGACUGAGAAACGGCCCAGAAUAUUAGGGGAGGGAGCCAAGGGGGAUACAGGAAAAUGGGCGAGAGGAAGAAGCAGCAAGGCUGGGAGAGUGAUGAAGUCGGGAGGGUAGUGAAGCACUUUAAUCCGAGAUGAUAAUGACGGUAUCGGAAGAAUAAGCACCGGCUAACUCCGUG
This 433-nucleotide ribosomal RNA is filed under the name uncultured bacterium. RNAcentral's name for it is "partial 16S ribosomal RNA". It matches the Rfam family "Bacterial small subunit ribosomal RNA", at positions 29 to 507 of the family's 1533-position model. The record is from RNAcentral.